AUUGAACGCUGGCGGCAGGCCUAACACAUGCAAGUCGAGCGGAUGAAGGGAGCUUGCUCCUGGAUUCAGCGGCGGACGGGGGAGUAAUGCCUAGGAAUCUGCCUGGUAGUGGGGGAUAACGUCCGGAAACGGGCGCUAAUACCGCAUACGUCCUGAGGGAGAAAGUGGGGGAUCUUCGGACCUCACGCUAUCAGAUGAGCCUAGGUCGGAUUAGCUAGUUGGUGGGGUAAAGGCCGACCAAGGCGAGGAUCCGUAACUGGUCUGAGAGGAUGAUCAGUCACACUGGAACUGAGACCCGCCCCAGACUCCCACGGGAGGGAGCAGUGGGGAAUAUUGGACAAGAGGCGAAAGACUGAUCCAGCCAUGCCGCGUGUGGGAAGAAGGUCUUCGGAUUGUAAAGCACUUUAAGUUGGGAGGAAGGGGAGUAAGUUAAUACCUUGCUGUUUUGACGUUACCAACAGAAUAAGCCCCGGCUAACUUCGUGC
This 485-nucleotide ribosomal RNA is filed under the name uncultured bacterium. Its description in RNAcentral is "partial 16S ribosomal RNA". It matches the Rfam family "Bacterial small subunit ribosomal RNA", at positions 30 to 508 of the family's 1533-position model. The record is from RNAcentral.